Molecule: ribosomal RNA, 253 nt
Filed under: uncultured bacterium
Lineage: Bacteria
Description: partial 16S ribosomal RNA
Rfam family: Bacterial small subunit ribosomal RNA
Source: RNAcentral
UACGUAGGGGGCAAGCGUUGUCCGGAUUUAUUGGGCGUAAAGAGCGUGUAGGCGGCCAGACAGGUCAGCUGUGAAAACUCGAGGCUCAACCUCGAGACGUCGGUUGAAACCGUCUGGCUAGAGUCCGGAAGAGGAGAGUGGAAUUCCUGGUGUAGCGGUGAAAUGCGCAGAUAUCAGGAAGAACACCCGUGGCUAAGGCGGCUCUCUAGUACGGUACUGACGCUGAGACGCGAAAGCGUGGGGAGCGAACAGG